RNAcentral lists this ribosomal RNA (1239 nucleotides) under metagenome. Its description in RNAcentral is "bacterial LSU rRNA". It matches the Rfam family "Bacterial large subunit ribosomal RNA", at positions 1564 to 2815 of the family's 2925-position model. The record is from RNAcentral.
UGAAUACGAGACGCUAAGGCGUCGAAGUAGUGUAUGUCAUACUUCCAAGAAAAGCUUGCACUGUCAUAGAUAAAAAACGCCUGUACCAUAACCGACACAGGUGGGUAGGUAGAGUAUACUAAGGGGCGCGAGAUAACUCUCUCUAAGGAACUCGGCAAAAUAACUCCGUAACUUCGGGAGAAGGAGUGCCUUAUUCGUAAGGUUGCAAUAACAAGAUCCAAGCAACUGUUUAUCAAAAACACAGGUCUCCGCUAAGUCGUAAGACGAUGUAUGGGGGCUGACGCCUGCCCAGUGCCAGAAGGUUAAAGAAGUUGGUUAGCAAUUGCGAAGCUGAUAACUGAAGCCCUGGUGAACGGCGGCCGUAACAAUAACGGUCCUAAGGUAGCGAAAUUCCUUGUCGGGUAAGUUCCGACCCGCACGAAAGGCGUAAUGAUUUGGAUACUGUCUCGGAGAGGGGCUCGGUGAAAUAGACUUGUCUGUGAAGAUGCGGACUACCUGCACCAGGACAGAAAGACCCUAUGAAGCUUUACUGUAACUUGAAAUUGAAAUUGGACUUUAUUCGCGCAGUAUAGGUGGGAGGCGUUGAUUAUAAUCUUGUGGGAUUAUUGGAGCCAUCAGUGAGAUACCACUCUUGUAAUGUUAGAUUUCUAACUUUGAAUCAUUAUCUGGUCAAAGAACAGUUUCAGGCGGGCAGUUUGACUGGGGCGGUCGCCUCCUAAACGGUAACGGAGGCGUACAAAGGUUUCCUCUGAACGGUUAGAAAUCGUAUCUAGAGUGUAAAGGCAUAAGGAAGCUUGACUGUGAGACCUACAAGUCGAGCAGGGACGAAAGUCGGUCUUAGUGAUCUGACGGUACUGAGUGGAAAGGCCGUCACUCAACGGAAAAGUUACUCUAGGAUAACAGGCUGAUCUCCCCCAAGAGUUCACAUCGACGGGGAGGUUUGGCACCUUGAUGUCGGCUCAUCGCAUCCUGGGGCGGUAGUACGUCCCAAGGGUUGGGCUGUUCGCCCAUGAAAGCGGUACGCGAGCUGGGUUCAGAACGUCGUGAGACAGUUCGGUCCAUAUCCGGUGUAGGCGUUAGAAUAUUGAGAGGAGCCUUCUUUAGUACGAGAGGACCGAGAAGGACAUACCUCUGGUGUACCAGUUAUCGUGCCAACGGUAAACGCUGGGUAGCUAUGUAUGGAGUGGAUAACCGCUGAAAGCAUCUAAGUGGGAAGCCCACCUCAAGAUAAGUAUUCUC